Molecule: ribosomal RNA, 439 nt
Filed under: uncultured bacterium
Lineage: Bacteria
Description: partial 16S ribosomal RNA
Rfam family: Bacterial small subunit ribosomal RNA
Source: RNAcentral
CUACGGGAGACACCAGUGGGGAAUAUUGCACAAUGGAGGAAACUCUGAUGCAGCAACGCCGCGUGGAGGAUGACACUUUUCGGAGCGUAAACUCCUUUUAUAUAGGAAGAAGAUGACGGUACUAUAUGAAUAAGCGCCGGCUAACUCCGUGCCAGCAGCCGCGGUAAUACGGAGGGCGCAAGCGUUACUCGGAAUCACUGGGCGUAAAGAGCGUGUAGGCGGAUUAAAAAGUCAGAAGUGAAAUCCUAUAGCUUAACUAUAGAGCUGCUUCUGAAACUCUUAAUCUAGAAUAUGGGAGAGGUAGAUGGAAUUUCUGGUGUAGGGGUAAAAUCCGUAGAGAUCAGAAGGAAUACCGAUUGCGAAGGCGAUCUACUAGAACAUUAUUGACGCUGAGACGCGAAAGCGUGGGGAGCAAACAGGAUUAGAUACCCCCGUAGUC